UAAUUGGUGAAAUGGGAUUACUGAUCUACUUGUUAUUUAUGCUUUUCUGAUUACUGAUACACAUGCAUUGGCACAUGCAGGAAAUGUACUAGAUGGUAAUGACACUCAAGCCUCUGAUUGUGCGCCAGCCAAGUGUCAACAACUUUGCAAUUGGAUUGAGAUUGUGGAAGCUAGCUAGAUAAGCUAGCAAGAUAGUGGAAGGUUUUUUUUUCAGCAUUGUUUUGUAGUGCAUGUGCCUGGCUAUUCUGAAAUCUGUGAUGUAAAAUACUUGGUUGUGUACCAGGGAACAAUGUGUCCAGAUGAAUCACAGUUGCAGUACCUACUGAGUUAAGACAUAUUUUUAAAAAUUCAACAUGUUAUUGGCAUAAAUGUAAAUUCGCAAAUUUUACUGUUUCAGUAGCAGAAAUAUCCAUCCCCGGGGAAUCUGGAAUAUGGUAGUAUCAGGAUCUUACCGAUAUUUCCAGGAAGACUGCUGAAUAACUCCACUGAAGAAGUCAAUCAUGGGGGGUGUUACAUGGUGUGAAGGAGUUUUGCAAAUGUGAUUUAGUGUGGUGGCGAGGGAGGAUCCAGAAAUUGAGAAGCACUUACAGCGGAAGAAACGGAGUGCGCAGUUUCACGACUACACCGUCGAACAAUUUUUGCAGUAGCCGCAACUGGUUGUGAUAUUUAAAGGGCUGCAUUUUUCUGGACAACAACUCGUUUCUCCUGGUAUAACGUUCGCUAAUGGAGUUGUCGUCGGAGACGGUCUAGCACUAUUUUUUCCAGGGCAAUAACUGUCAUGCCCGAUGUGCCUGAUUGAAUGCGCCAGAUUUUAAGCUAACUUUGUUUGGAGAUAUUUUUGUUUGACGAUUUUGAAUUGACUUAACCUUCAGCAGCCUUUCCUUAUGCCGAUUAAAAUCCGUCAGAUCUCAUUGAAGUACAACA
Long non-coding RNA from Daphnia carinata, 924 nucleotides. RefSeq lists it as uncharacterized. The record is from RefSeq and is a predicted model, not a curated record. Lineage: Eukaryota; Metazoa; Arthropoda; Branchiopoda; Diplostraca; Daphniidae. The transcript has 3 exons.